ACGCUGGCGGCAGCUUACACAUGCAAUUUGACGCCCCGCAAGGGGAGUGGCAGACUCGGUGAGUAACGCGUGGGAACAUACCCUUUCCUGCGGAAUAGCUCCGGGAAACUGGAAUUAAUACCGCAUACGCCCUACGGGGGAAAGAUUUAUCGGGGAAGGAUUGGCCCGCGUUGGAUUAGCUAGUUGGUGGGGUAAAGGCCUACCAAGGCGACGAUCCAUAGCUGGUCUGAGAGGAUGAUCAGCCACAUUGGGACUGAGACACGGCCCAAACUCCUACGGGAGGCAGCAGUGGGGAAUAUUGGACAAUGGGCGCAAGCCUGAUCCAGCCAUGCCGCGUGAGUGAUGAAGGCCUUAGGGUUGUAAAGCUCUUUCACCGAUGAAGAUAAUGACGGUAGUCGGAGAAGAAGCCCCGGCUAACUUCGUGCCAGCAGCCGCGGUAAUACGAAGGGGGCUAGCGUUGUUCGGAAUUACUGGGCGUAAAGCGCACGUAGGCGGAUAUUUAAGUCAGGGGUGAAAUCCCGCAUCUCAACUGCGGAACUGCCUUUGAUACUGGGUAUCUUGAGUAUGGAAGAGGUAAGUGGUAUUCCGAGUGUAGAGGUCGAAUUCGUAGAUAUUCGGAGGAACACCGGUGGCGAAGGCGGCUUACUGGUCCAUUACUGACACUGAGGUGCAAAAAGCGUGGGGAGCAAAGAGUAUUAAAUACGCUGGGUACCCCACGCCUUUAACGAUGAAUGUUAGCCCGUCGGGCAUUAUGCUGUUCGGGGGCCGCACCUAAC
RNAcentral lists this ribosomal RNA (776 nucleotides) under Agrobacterium sp. Bac53D4. RNAcentral's name for it is "bacterial SSU rRNA". It matches the Rfam family "Bacterial small subunit ribosomal RNA", at positions 33 to 856 of the family's 1533-position model. The record is from RNAcentral. Lineage: Bacteria; Pseudomonadati; Pseudomonadota; Alphaproteobacteria; Hyphomicrobiales; Rhizobiaceae.